Molecule: unclassified non-coding RNA, 472 nt
Filed under: plant metagenome
Description: partial contains 5.8S ribosomal RNA, internal transcribed spacer 2, and large subunit ribosomal RNA
Rfam family: 5.8S ribosomal RNA (bases 1-104)
Source: RNAcentral
GAAAUGCGAUAAGUAAUGCGAAUCGCAAAGUCCGCGAGUCAUCGAAUCUUUGAACGCAAAUGGCACUUCUUGGCUAUCCGAGAAGUACGACUGUUUGAGUAUUGGAAUUUACUCUUUCCUUGGAAAGGAUUUGAAUGUCUGUCUGUUCACAGUCAAUGUCUGUCUGUCUGUUUGUUGUUAUAUCUUUGAAAAAAGAUAUGACAAUGACGACGACGACGACGACGACGAUGACGACGACAGUCAUUUAAAAUGAAUAUGUAGAGGUGAUGGUAUAAUUUAUAUAUAACAUCAUUUUCAGGUUGAACCAACUUUGAAAUAUGUUAUAUAUAUUAAUCAUCAUUUCUCUCUCUCUCUUUAUGAUGUGUAUGUAUGUAUGUAUGUGUGGGUUUUCACCACUUAUAUACAUCAUACAUCAUAUCUCUCUAUACAUAUUCAAUCUCAAAUCAGUCGAGAUUACCCGCUGAACUUAAGC